RNAcentral lists this unclassified non-coding RNA (433 nucleotides) under soil metagenome. RNAcentral describes it as "partial contains 5.8S ribosomal RNA, internal transcribed spacer 2, and large subunit ribosomal RNA". The stretch from base 1 to 120 matches the Rfam family "5.8S ribosomal RNA", at positions 35 to 154 of the family's 154-position model. The record is from RNAcentral.
GAUGAAGAACGUAGCGUAAUGCGAUACGUAAUGUGAAUUGCAGAAUUCAGUGAAUCAUCGAAUCUUUGAACGCAUAUUGCGCUCUCUGGUAUUCCGGAGAGCAUGCUUGUUUGAGUAUCAGUAAACACCUCAACUUCCAUAUCUUUUUUGAAAUGGGAGUUGGACUUGAGUGAUCCCAACGCUUUUCCUCACCGAAAAGUGGCGGGUUACUUGAAAUGCAGGUGCAGCUGGACUUUUCUCUGAGCUAUAAGCAUAUCUAUUUAGUCUGCCUAAAAAACAGAUUAUUACCUUUGCUGCAGCUAACAUAAAGGAGAUUAGUUCUUGUGCUGACUGAUGCAGGAUUCACAAAGACAGGCUUCGGCCGACUUUGUAAACUCGAUCUCAAAUCAAGUAAGACUACCCGCUGAACUUAAGCAUAUCAAUAAGCGGAGGA